UACAGAGGUCCCAAGCGUUGUUCGGAUUUACUGGGCGUAAAGGGCACGUAGGCGGCCACCGCAAGUCGGUUGUGAAAUCUCUGGGCUUAACCCAGAAAGGUCAACCGAUACUGCGGGGCUAGAGUGCAGAAGGGGCAACUGGAAUUCUCGGUGUAGCGGUGAAAUGCGUAGAUAUCGAGAGGAACACCUGCGGCGAAGGCGGGUUGCUGGGCUGACACUGACGCUGAAGCGCGAAAGCUAGGGGAGCGAACGGG
Molecule: ribosomal RNA, 254 nt
Filed under: uncultured bacterium
Lineage: Bacteria
Description: partial 16S ribosomal RNA
Rfam family: Bacterial small subunit ribosomal RNA
Source: RNAcentral